AAGCACACUUCGGUCAUAGAUUAAGCCAUGCAAGUGUUAGUUCAGGCAACGAAACUGCGUAUAGCUCAUUAAUACGCUCAGAAUCUAUUUGGUGGCAACCUUCAGGUUUUACAUGGAUAGCAGGAGUAAUUCUCGUGCUAAUACAUGCGAUUGUUUCAUCGGAAGUGAUUUACGAUGGAAAAGUUGACCCUUACGGGCACACCAUUCGACUGAGCGACCUAUCAGCUAGUACUUAGGGUCUGUACCUAGGUAGGCUAUCACGGGUAACGGGCGGUUACCGUCGGACUGCCGGAGAAGGCGCCUGAGAGAUAGCGACUAUAUCCACGGGUAGCAGCAGGCGCGAAACUUACCCACUCGAGACUUUCGGAGGUGGUAAUGACCAGUUCCGCUGAUUGCCUUAUGGCAUCAAUGGAUAGGAGUACACUUUUCCAGUGUUCUGAAACCUAGCAGAGGGCCAGUCUGGUGCCAGCAGCUGCGGUAAUUCCAGCUCUGCGAGUUUGCUCCCAUAUUGUUGCAGUUAAAACGCCCGUAGUCAGAAUUCUCUUCGUAAGGAG
Molecule: ribosomal RNA, 554 nt
Filed under: Monocercomonas colubrorum
Lineage: Eukaryota; Parabasalia; Tritrichomonadida; Monocercomonadidae
Description: SSU rRNA
Rfam family: Eukaryotic small subunit ribosomal RNA
Source: RNAcentral